This 279-nucleotide unclassified non-coding RNA is filed under the name plant metagenome. Its description in RNAcentral is "partial contains small subunit ribosomal RNA, internal transcribed spacer 1, and 5.8S ribosomal RNA". The record is from RNAcentral.
UUUCCGUAGGUGAACCUGCGGAAGGAUCAUUAUUGUCUCUCCUUGGUGCGAGUGCUGUCGCUGACCCGUACUGUCGUGCACGCCCGAGUGCCCUCCCACCCCUCCAUCUCCCCCCUAUUUGCCCCACCGCGUGGGUCCCCCUUUGCCUUGUUCGGCCGGCGUCUUCCGUUUUCACUCCAACUUUGUAUGCCGUGCAGACCCUAUUUUUUGCUUUUGCGCUCUCCUCUUCCCUACCACUUUCCACCACGGAACUCUUGGUUCUCGCAUCGAUGACGACCC